ACUCAAAGGAAUUGACGGGGCCCCGCACAAGCGGCGGAGCAUGCGGAUUAAUUCGAUGCAACGCGAAGAACCUUACCUGGGUUUGACAUAUACCGGAAACGUCUAGAGAUAGGCGCCCCGUAAGGUCGGUAUACAGGUGGUGCAUGGCUGUCGUCAGCUCGUGUCGUGAGAUGUUGGGUUAAGUCCCGCAACGAGCGCAACCCUCGUCCAAUGUUGCCAGCGGAUAAUGCCGGGGACUCAUUGGAGACCGCCGGGGUCAACUCGGAGGAAGGUGGGGAUGACGUCAAGUCAUCAUGCCCCUUAUGUCCAGGGCUUCACGCAUGCUACAAUGGCCGGUACAAAGAGCUGCAAACCUGCAAGGGUGAGCGAAUCUCAAAAAGCCGGUCUCAGUUCGGAUUGGGGUCUGCAACUCGACCCCAUGAAGUAGGAGUCGCUAGUAAUCGCAGAUCAGCAACGCUGCGGUGAAUACGUUCCCGGGGCUUGUACACACCGCCCGU
Molecule: ribosomal RNA, 497 nt
Filed under: uncultured bacterium
Lineage: Bacteria
Description: bacterial SSU rRNA
Rfam family: Bacterial small subunit ribosomal RNA
Source: RNAcentral